RNAcentral lists this ribosomal RNA (467 nucleotides) under uncultured bacterium. RNAcentral describes it as "partial 16S ribosomal RNA". It matches the Rfam family "Bacterial small subunit ribosomal RNA", at positions 28 to 507 of the family's 1533-position model. The record is from RNAcentral.
GACGAACGCUGGCGGCGUGCUUAACACAUGCAAGUCGAACGGAAAGGCCCUGCUUUUGUGGGGUGCUCGAGUGGCGAACGGGUGAGUAACACGUGAGUAACCUGCCCUUGACUUUGGGAUAACUUCAGGAAACUGGGGCUAAUACCGGAUAGGAGCUCCUGCUGCAUGGUGGGGGUUGGAAAGUUUCGGCGGUUGGGGAUGGACUCGCGGCUUAUCAGCUUGUUGGUGGGGUAGUGGCUUACCAAGGCUUUGACGGGUAGCCGGCCUGAGAGGGUGACCGGCCACAUUGGGACUGAGAUACGGCCCAGACUCCUACGGGAGGCAGCAGUGGGGAAUAUGCACAAUGGGCGGAAGCCUGAUGCAGCAACGCCGCGUGCGGGAUGACGGCCUUCGGGUUGUAAACCGCCUUCGCCUGUGACGAAGCGUGAGUGACGGUAAUGGGUAAAGAAGCACCGGCUAACUACGUG